This is a long non-coding RNA of Chlorocebus sabaeus (green monkey), 2187 nucleotides long. RefSeq lists it as uncharacterized. Lineage: Eukaryota; Metazoa; Chordata; Mammalia; Primates; Cercopithecidae. The record is from RefSeq and is a predicted model, not a curated record.
ACAGUCCUGCCAUGGUGAAAAGGAUAGUGACGAGGGUCAGAGUGGCCUGUGCCAGGAAAGGAUAACGACCUCUCCACUUCAGACCAAGAUGCUGCCUCCCUCCUGCUGCCAGUCCACCCAAGACCUGUUCAUUGUUUCUUCCGGAUUUCUCAGGAACCCAACUUCCUUCCUUCUCUCGUUACAGUCAUCAUCCCAAUUCAGUUUGUUAUGACCUCAGUUCCAGCACUUGACCUCUCAUCCUGUUAGUUCAUUCUGCACACCGCUUACUAGUUGUGUGACCUCGGGACAAACAAAACACAUCCACGGGCUGUAUCCAGCUUGUGGACUGCCUGUUUACGGCCUACAGGUUCCAGAGUCAUCUGCUCCCAGCUCCGAAAUCAAAAAUUAUCACGUGGAAUCUUGUUGUUCAGGAUUCCUAAGAAGAAACUGGCUGCCAAAGCCCUGCAUGAGAAAUGGGUAGAGGCAGCCUCACCCCACUAACCUGCCUUGCAGAUGGGGCUGCCUCCCGGACCUGCUGGGCCAGUUUGGCCAGGGCAUUGACAAGCCAGCACUGGCGGUUAAACUCCUCUCUCAGCCCCUUGCCACAGCAGCACAGUAAGGCUGCCAGCAGAUACUGGUAGCGGAUGCUGAACUGAGAGUCCUUGAGACCAUCCUUCAGCAACCUGCAAGGCAGAGGGAGUCCGGAGUCAGAGCACUCCAGGGGUUAAAGGCAAGGGUGCAGGGGGAGACAGAGUCAAGUCCAGCUCCAACUCACUGCAAAACCCCCCUGAACUUGGGAGGGAAAAUACACUCUGUAUGUACGGCUUAUAUGGAGAUGUUCACCUGUGCCCAUACCCCAGUCUGUGCCCUCACUCUGUCUUUAAGUAGAGUUCACAGCCCCUCUGCAUCUUGUUUCCCCUUCCUAUUUCUGCCAUGUGUGGAUAGAGGAGAGACAGGAUAACAUAAUCCUCACUAUGUUACAUGGGGGUGAGCUGAGACCCCUGAGGAAAAGAUGCUGGGCCAAGGCCACAGGGUAAGUCAGCAACAUACUGAAGCUCGGACAACUCAGCUCCUUGCCCUUGCGUGCCUAAGAGUGAAAUACUCCUGUGUGAAAGACACGUGUCUACCUCCCACUUUUCUACAUGCAGUUUUACCAGAAGAAGUAGUGAGUCACUCUCAAGUCAGACACAGCUCGUUUCAGAAGGAAGCGCACCAACGGGCUGUCCAGGUAGCACUCAUACUUCAGGGCCUGUUUCGGAGAAAGGGAGAAAGAAAAUAUGAAGCUUCAUAAACUGCCUGUAACCUACACCUAUUAUUAUUGCACUGGGAUCUCUGGUUUCUAAGGGGCAGACUCACUUGGGAUAUUGGGGAUGAGACCAGCAAAACUGGAGGGAGAACCAAUCCACCCACCUGUACCAGCUGGGGCAGGUAGUCCAGCAGCUCAGCAUCCGAGAGUGAGCCAAUCCACUGCACGGCCAUACGACGCACCUCCUGAUCCGGGAAGCUGCAAAACAGAGCCCAGUGCCCUGACAACCUAGCUGCAGGUUGAGGAACAGCUGUGAGCCAAGCACCCUCACACCUGGGCUUCAGAGGCAUGGAGAAAGAAAAGGCAAUGGCCCUAGUUCUGCCAAAGUCACUAGAAGAAUCCUUAGCACCUUCCCUGGAUAGCAACCCUUGGGAAUGAGCCUUCUUCAUGGUCAGAGUCUACCUUGAGCCAUGGGGGAGCAAUUGGGUAGCCACUCUCGCUCCUUAGAUGAUUUAAAGAAAACGGGACAAAGUCCUCAAUCCUACUCCCAAAGAGUUCUCUCUUGACUCCCACUGUGUCAGAAAUUCCCACCACUGGAGGGCCCUGAUGUGGGUAAAAGCAUUAUUUUGUCUUGGUAACAUCCUUUAAUGCAAAAUGUACCAGGCAAAUGACAGAAAAUCACAGAAUUUUAUAUAAGCCAAUAAACAUUGGCAGAAUUAGUUUAGCAGACAUUAACAAAACCAUUGGCUCAAAAACUCCUUAAGGCAAGUCACGUGAAUAGGUACAUUUUUAUUACUGAGAGUGGUGAGAAAUAAGCAGGAAAUCCUGGGUACCAUCUAGAAAAGGCAGCCCUAACGGAUCUGAGACUGGAAGCUUUGGGUCCCCAGAGAAGCUUUGGGUCCCCUUCAAGAGAAAGAGGGGAGAGACGAUGGUUAAAAUAAAACUAAGUAAUAAGGAUUUCA